This 107-nucleotide small nuclear RNA is filed under the name Carlito syrichta (Philippine tarsier). Lineage: Eukaryota; Metazoa; Chordata; Mammalia; Primates; Tarsiidae. The record is from RNAcentral.
GUGCUUGCUUUAGCAGUACAUAUACUAAAACUGGAAAAAUACAGAGAAGAUUAGCAUGACCUCUGUGCAAGGAUGAUAUGCAAAUUUGUGAAAUGUUCAACUUUUUA